This 494-nucleotide ribosomal RNA is filed under the name uncultured bacterium. RNAcentral's name for it is "partial 16S ribosomal RNA". It matches the Rfam family "Bacterial small subunit ribosomal RNA", at positions 28 to 507 of the family's 1533-position model. The record is from RNAcentral.
GACGAACGCUGGCGGCGUGCCUAAUACAUGCAAGUCGAACGGUUUAGUUCCAAGAGGCUUGCCUUUUGGAACUAGACAGUGGCGGACGGGUGAGUAACACGUAGGCAACCUACCUGUCAAACCGGGAUAACCUCGGGAAACCGAAGCUAAACCCGGAUAAGCUCCUUUUUCGCAUGAAGGGGGAGUGAAAAGGUGCGACCUGAUGACAGAUGGGCCUGCGGCGCAUUAGCUAGUAGGUAGGGUAACGGCCUACCUAGGCGAUGAUGCGUAGCCGACCUGAGAGGGCGGACCGCCACACUGGGACUGGGAUACGGCCCAGACUCCUACGGGAGGCAGGAGUAGGGAAUCUUCGGCAAUGGGCGAAAGCCUGAACGAGCAACGGCGCGUGAGGGAGGAAGGCCUUCGGGUUGUAAAACUCUGUUGUUUGGGAAGAAGGGAAAGGGUAGGACCCUUAGGUGACGGUACCAAACGAGAAAGCCCCGGCUAACUACGUG